UCAUAGGAUUUUUUUAAAUCCAUUUUCAUCACCAAUGACAUAAUGU
Non-coding RNA from Picea glauca (white spruce), 46 nucleotides. The record is from Rfam. NCBI's taxonomy places the organism in Eukaryota, Viridiplantae, Streptophyta, Pinopsida, Pinales, Pinaceae.